CCUACGGGUGGCAGCAGUGGGGAAUAUUGCACAAUGGGGGGAACCCUGAUGCAGCAACGCCGCGUGGGUGAAGAAGUACUUCGGUAUGUAAAGCCCUGUCAGCAGGGAAGAAAAUGACGGUACCUGACCAAGAAGCACCGGCUAACUACGUGCCAGCAGCCGCGGUAAUACGUAGGGGGCAAGCGUUAUCCGGAUUUAUUGGGUUUAAAGGGUGCGUAGGCGGAGCGUUAAGUCAGUGGUCAAAUUGAGGGGCUCAACCCCUUCCCGCCAUUGAAACUGGCGCUCUUGAGUGGAAGAGAAGUAUGUGGAAUGCGUGGUGUAGCGGUGAAAUGCAUAGAUAUCACGCAGAACCCCGAUUGCGAAGGCAGCAUGCCGGCUUCCUACUGACGCUGAAGCACGAAAGCGUGGGGAUCGAACAGGAUUAGAUACCCGUGUAGUC
This 439-nucleotide ribosomal RNA is filed under the name uncultured bacterium. RNAcentral's name for it is "partial 16S ribosomal RNA". It matches the Rfam family "Bacterial small subunit ribosomal RNA", at positions 338 to 795 of the family's 1533-position model. The record is from RNAcentral.